GUUGUACUCCUUCUGUCCUAAAUUUCUUGUUUUAGAUUUGUUUAGAUAUGGAUGUAUCUAAUAUUGAAAUGAGACUUGAUACAUCCGUAUCUAGACAAAUCUAAAAUAGAAUUUUGAGACGGAGGGAGUACUAU
This is a non-coding RNA of Triticum urartu, 134 nucleotides long. NCBI's taxonomy places the organism in Eukaryota, Viridiplantae, Streptophyta, Magnoliopsida, Poales, Poaceae. The record is from Rfam.